CCCUUAGAUGUCCGGGGCCGCACGCGCGCUACACUGAAGGAAUCAGCGUGGCUUUCUCCCUGACCCGAAAGGGUUGGGAAACCCGUUGAAUCUCCUUCGUGAUAGGGAUUGGGGCUUGAAAUUGUUCCCCAUGAACGAGGAAUUCCCAGUAAGCGCGAGUCAAAAGCUCGCGUUGAUUACGUCCCUGCCCUUUGUACACACCGCCCGUCGCUACUACCGAUUGAACGGUUUAGUGAGGGCCUCGGAUUGGUCUCGGCCCGCUCUUUACCGGGCGGCGCCGUUGGUCGAGAAGACGCUCGAACUUGAUCGUUUAGAGGAAGUAAAAGUCGUAACA
This 334-nucleotide ribosomal RNA is filed under the name uncultured eukaryote. Its description in RNAcentral is "partial 18S ribosomal RNA". It matches the Rfam family "Eukaryotic small subunit ribosomal RNA", at positions 1470 to 1796 of the family's 1831-position model. The record is from RNAcentral.